RNAcentral lists this long non-coding RNA (319 nucleotides) under Spirodela polyrhiza (greater duckweed). Its description in RNAcentral is "long non-coding RNA (SPOL_LNC001981)". Lineage: Eukaryota; Viridiplantae; Streptophyta; Magnoliopsida; Alismatales; Araceae. The record is from RNAcentral.
UUUAUUUAAGUAAGAGACAAACCCUAAACUCAGAUACAGAAGUAGACUGGAUGUAUGCAUCCAUAUGUGAGUGUGAGUGAAUGGCUUUGCAUAUAUAUAUAUAUACAUACGUAUGAUGUAUAUAUGUAUACUGAAGAAAACUAAAAAAGAAAAAUAUUUCGUAUCUCUCUAAUGGAAGUCUGGGAACAGCAUGCCAUCGUGCGGCGGGAUGCAAUGCUCUCAGCGACUCAGACUGCAAUGGCCAUGCCUUGCUGUUGGGAGGGAAACCUAUCUUUUCAAACAGUUUCCUCCUUGGCGUUUCUGCACCUUUCGGACCCCA